ACAUCAUAGGAAAACUGCGUCUUCACUCCCUAGCAAGCAUCCAAAUCAUUGGAAUAUACUUCUGGCAGCACAUGAGAGUUUUCCAGAGACCUGGGCAGCAACAACCAAAAGAAGUAAUCUGAAGCAGACAGAAAAGCAAGCUAGCUCACUGAGUUCAGAUUCCCCUGACCUUCUGUAUUCUUUCUCAGCCCUUUUAAGGAAGAAAAGCUUCACGCCCAGUGCAAAGCCCGAUGCAGGGCUUGAACUCACAACCCUGAGAUCGAGACCUGAGCUGAGAUGGAGACCUGAGCUGAGAUCAAGAAUCCGAUGCUUAACUAACUGAGCCCCCCAGGUGGCCCGGAAACCCUCCUAUUUAGAACAAAUCAAUCAACAACA
Leopardus geoffroyi (Geoffroy's cat) is the source of this 375-nucleotide long non-coding RNA. RefSeq lists it as uncharacterized. NCBI's taxonomy places the organism in Eukaryota, Metazoa, Chordata, Mammalia, Carnivora, Felidae. The transcript is spliced from 3 exons. The record is from RefSeq and is a predicted model, not a curated record.